This 105-nucleotide non-coding RNA is filed under the name Aneurinibacillus sp. XH2. RNAcentral describes it as "SAM riboswitch aptamer (S box leader)". It matches the Rfam family "SAM riboswitch aptamer (S box leader)". From Rfam's summary of the family: The SAM riboswitch is found upstream of a number of genes which code for proteins involved in methionine or cysteine biosynthesis in Gram-positive bacteria. The SAM riboswitch acts at the level of transcription termination control. The predicted structure consists of a complex stem-loop region followed by a single stem loop terminator region. RNAcentral also lists the same sequence under 1 other name. Lineage: Bacteria; Bacillati; Bacillota; Bacilli; Caryophanales; Paenibacillaceae. The record is from Rfam by way of RNAcentral.
CUCUUAUCAAGAGCGGCGGAGGGACUGGCCCGAUGAAGCCCGGCAACCGGCACGUAUGUGCAAGGUGCUAAUUCCAGCAAAGCAGCAUGCUUUGGAAGAUGAGAG